ACGUGCAGCAGUCUAAGCAUGCGAGUCGAGCGGGCCCUUCAGGGUCAACGGCGGACGGGUGAGUAACGCGUGGGAACGUGCCUUCUGGUUGGGAAUACCCCUGGGAAACUAGGGGUAAUACCGGAUACGCCCUUUUGGGGAAAGGUUUACUGCCGGAAGAUCGGCCCGCGUCUGAUUAGCUAGUUGGGGGGGUAACGGCCUACCAAGGGGACGAUCAGUAGCUGGUCUGAGAGGAUGAUCAGCCACACUGGGACUGAAACACGGGCCAGACUCCUACGGGAGGGAGCAGUGGGGAAUAUUGGACAAUGGGCGCAAGCCUGAUCCAGCCAUGCCGCGUGAGUGAUGAAGGCCUUAGGGUUGUAAAGCUCUUUUAUCCGGGACGAUAAUGACGGUACCGGAAGAAUAAGCCCCGGCUAACUUCCUGCCAGCAGCCGCGGUAAUACCAAGGGGGCUAGCGUUGCUCGGAAUCACUGGGCGUAAAGGGCGCGUAAGCGGCGUUUUAAGUCGGGGGUGAAAGCCUGUGGCUCAACCACAGAAUGGCCUUCGAUACUGGGACGCUUGAGUAUGGUAGAGGUUGGUGGAACUGCCAGUGUAGAGGUGAAAUUCGUAGAUAUUCGCAAGAACACCGGUGGCGAAGGCGGCCAACUGGACCAUUACUGACGCUGAAGCGCGAAAGCGUGGGGAGCAAACAGGAUUAGAUACCCUGGUAGUCCACGCCGUAAACGAUGAAUGCCAGCUGUUGGGGUGCUUGCACCGCAGUAGCGCAGCUAACGCUUUGAGCAUUCCGCCUGGGGAGUACCGGUCGCAAGAUUAAAACUCAAAGGAAUUGACCGGGGCCCGCACAAGCGUGGAGCAUGUGGUUUAAUUCGAAGCAACGCGCAGAACUUACCAUCCUUUGAACAUGGCGUGUACCAGAGAGAAUCUGGGUCCCUUCGGGGCGCGCACACAGUGCUGCAUGCUGUCGUCAGCUUCGUGUCGUGAGAUGUGGGUAGGUUCCGCACGAGCGCUACUACGGUCUUAGUGCAUCAUUCAGUGUCACUCUAAGGAACUGCCGUGAUAAGCCGCAAGUAGUUGAUGACGUCAGUCUCA
RNAcentral lists this ribosomal RNA (1089 nucleotides) under Methylobacterium sp. RNAcentral's name for it is "bacterial SSU rRNA". It matches the Rfam family "Bacterial small subunit ribosomal RNA", at positions 33 to 1195 of the family's 1533-position model. Lineage: Bacteria; Pseudomonadati; Pseudomonadota; Alphaproteobacteria; Hyphomicrobiales; Methylobacteriaceae. The record is from RNAcentral.